Molecule: small nuclear RNA, 130 nt
Organism: Cercocebus atys (sooty mangabey)
Lineage: Eukaryota; Metazoa; Chordata; Mammalia; Primates; Cercopithecidae
Source: Ensembl
ACACUUAUUGCUAGCCUCACAAUAAGGACAAGACCAGUGCAAUAUCUGAGACUGGACAACCACAGCGAGGAGAGCAGCAUGGCCUUUGCUCAAGGAUGACAUGCAAAUUGAUGAGGUGCUCCAUAUUUUU